RNAcentral lists this ribosomal RNA (311 nucleotides) under uncultured eukaryote. RNAcentral's name for it is "partial 18S ribosomal RNA". It matches the Rfam family "Eukaryotic small subunit ribosomal RNA", at positions 1470 to 1796 of the family's 1831-position model. The record is from RNAcentral.
CCCUUAGAUGUUCUGGGCCGCACGCGCGCUACACUGAUGCAUUCAGCGAGUCCAUCCUUGCCCGAAAGGGCUGGGUAAUCUUUUGAAAUUGCAUCGUGAUGGGGCUUGCGGGUUGCAACUACCCGCACCAACGAGGAAUUCCUAGUAAACGCAAGUCAACAACUUGCAUUGAUUACGUCCCUGCCCUUUGUACACACCGCCCGUCGCUCCUACCGAUGAGUCGUCCGGUGAAGUUCGUAGACCUCGUGAUCGCGGAUCACUGGGGGAAGCAAAAUGAACCUCGCGGUUUAGAGGAAGGAGAAGUCGUAACA